RNAcentral lists this long non-coding RNA (329 nucleotides) under Setaria italica (foxtail millet). RNAcentral describes it as "long non-coding RNA (SITA_LNC006950)". The record is from RNAcentral. Lineage: Eukaryota; Viridiplantae; Streptophyta; Magnoliopsida; Poales; Poaceae.
AAUGAGCCUACAAUUAGGCCGUGCUUAAAAAAUGGGCUAGAGGAUACAAAAGUACCUUAUUGGGCUAAGCUCACAAUGAAAUGGGCCUACAAUUAGGUAGCCAUGUCACCAUCCAAGUUGGCUAUCCACAUACCAACAUAUAAAUCAUCUCCAGGGUAGCUAUGGGUACCACUGUACCAGUAAUAGCAUAACGACUACUAUUUCUACAUUGUGGCUGCUGUGAGAUGGGUAGUUCCCCGUCCCGUACGUGUGUGAGGACAACGGGGUCUCGAUCAACAGUGACAGGCCAAGCGAGCCGGGACGCUGGACCCAAGUGUGGACUCUGGCUC